Molecule: ribosomal RNA, 497 nt
Filed under: uncultured bacterium
Lineage: Bacteria
Description: partial 16S ribosomal RNA
Rfam family: Bacterial small subunit ribosomal RNA
Source: RNAcentral
GAUGAACGCUGGCGGCGUGCCUAAUACAUGCAAGUCGAGCGAACGGACGAGAAGCUUGCUUCUCUGAUGUUAGCGGCGGACGGGUGAGUAACACGUGGAUAACCUACCUAUAAGACUGGGAUAACUUCGGGAAACCGUAGCUAAUACCGGAUAAUAUUUUGAACCGCAUGGUUCAAAAGUGAAAGACGGUCUUGCUGUCACUUAUAGAUGGAUCCGCGCUGCAUUAGCUAGUUGGUAAGGUAACGGCUUACCAAGGCAACGAUGCAUAGCCGACCUGAGAGGGUGAUCGGCCACACUGGAACUGAGACACGGUCCCGAAUCCUACGGGAGGCAGCAGUAGGGAAUCUUCCGCAAUGGGCGAAAGCCUGACGGAGCAACGCCGCGUGAAUGAUGAAGGUCUUCGGAUCGUAAAACUCUGUUAUUAGGGAAGAACAUAUGUGUAAGUAACUGUGCACAUCUUGACGGUACCUAAUCAGAAAGCCACGGCUAACUACGUG